UACAGAGGUCCCAAGCGUUGUUCGGAUUCAUUGGGCGUAAAGGGUGCGUAGGUGGCGCCGUAAGUCGGGUGUGAAAUUUCGGAGCUUAACUCCGAAACUGCAUUCGAUACUGCGGUGCUUGAGGACUGGAGAGGAGACUGGAAUUCAUGGUGUAGCAGUGAAAUGCGUAGAUAUCAUAAGGAACACCGGUGGCGAAGGCGGAUACCUGGAAGAUUCCUGACUCUGAAACACGAAAGCCAGGGGAGCAAACGGG
RNAcentral lists this ribosomal RNA (253 nucleotides) under uncultured bacterium. Its description in RNAcentral is "partial 16S ribosomal RNA". It matches the Rfam family "Bacterial small subunit ribosomal RNA", at positions 524 to 776 of the family's 1533-position model. The record is from RNAcentral.